RNAcentral lists this transfer RNA (69 nucleotides) under Ovis aries (sheep). It matches the Rfam family "tRNA". Rfam says of the family: Transfer RNA (tRNA) molecules are approximately 80 nucleotides in length. Their secondary structure includes four short double-helical elements and three loops (D, anti-codon, and T loops). The record is from Rfam by way of RNAcentral. Lineage: Eukaryota; Metazoa; Chordata; Mammalia; Artiodactyla; Bovidae.
CCUGAUAGCUCAGUUGGUAAAGUAUCUGCCUGCAAUGCAGGAGACCCUGGUUUGAUUCCUAGAUCAGGA